AGACCCGAAACCCGGUGAUCUAGCCAUGGGCAGGUUGAAGGUUGGGUAACACUAACUGGAGGACCGAACCGACUAAUGUUGAAAAAUUAGCGGAUGACCUGUGGCUGGGGGUGAAAGGCCAAUCAAACCGGGAGAUAGCUGGUUCUCCCCGAAAGCUAUUUAGGUAGCGCCUCGUGAAUUCAUCUCCGGGGGUAGAGCACUGUUUCGGCUAGGGGGCCAUCCCGGCUUACCAACCCGAUGCAAACUGCGAAUACCGGAGAAUGUUAUCACGGGAGACACACGGCGGGUGCUAACGUCCGUCGUGAAGAGGGAAACAACCCAGACCGCCAGCUAAGGUCCCAAAGUCAUGGUUAAGUGGGAAACGAUGUGGGAAGGCCCAGACAGCCAGGAUGUUGGCUUAGAAGCAGCCAUCAUUUAAAGAAAGCGUAAUAGCUCACUGGUCGAGUCGGCCUGCGCGGAAGAUGUAACGGGGCUAAACCAUGCACCGAAGCUGCGGCAGCGAACGUAUCACCCAAGACAACUUUACGGAGUUGACGAUUGACGGAGCGAAGCGACGUCAAAGCGUUCAUUAAAGUCGAGUUGGCUUAGGGAUACGUUCGUUGGGUAGGGGAGCGUUCUGUAAGCCUGUGAAGGUGUGUCGUGAGGCAUGCUGGAGG
Molecule: ribosomal RNA, 656 nt
Filed under: Salmonella enterica
Lineage: Bacteria; Pseudomonadati; Pseudomonadota; Gammaproteobacteria; Enterobacterales; Enterobacteriaceae
Description: partial 23S ribosomal RNA
Rfam family: Bacterial large subunit ribosomal RNA
Source: RNAcentral